RNAcentral lists this ribosomal RNA (253 nucleotides) under uncultured bacterium. RNAcentral's name for it is "partial 16S ribosomal RNA". It matches the Rfam family "Bacterial small subunit ribosomal RNA", at positions 524 to 776 of the family's 1533-position model. The record is from RNAcentral.
UACGGAGGGGGCGAGCGUUAUUCGGAAUUAUUGGGCGUAAAGGGCGCGUAGGCGGCUUGAUGUGUCAAAGGUGAAAUCCCUCGGCUCAACUGAGGAACUGCCUUUGAAACUGUCUGGCUUGAGGCCGGGAGAGGGUAGCGGAAUUCCCAGUGUAGCGGUGAAAUGCGUAGAUACUGGGAGGAACACCGGCGGCGAAGGCGGCUACCUGGACCGGAACUGACGCUGAGGCGCGAAAGCGUGGGUAGCAAACAGG